GUUAAGAAUCAUGAACCACCACUGCGCCUGCGCACAGCGCCGGGGUUCAGGCUGCAGCGCCAGAGCACAUGCUUGCGCAUAACUGGGGCCAACCGCUCCCCACCGGCGGCCCUUUCAAGCAAGAGCGACAGGG
Myotis brandtii (Brandt's bat) is the source of this 133-nucleotide non-coding RNA. NCBI's taxonomy places the organism in Eukaryota, Metazoa, Chordata, Mammalia, Chiroptera, Vespertilionidae. The record is from Rfam.